This 229-nucleotide ribosomal RNA is filed under the name Prochlorococcus marinus str. SS51. Its description in RNAcentral is "partial Small subunit ribosomal RNA". It matches the Rfam family "Bacterial small subunit ribosomal RNA", at positions 21 to 281 of the family's 1533-position model. Lineage: Bacteria; Bacillati; Cyanobacteriota; Cyanophyceae; Synechococcales; Prochlorococcaceae. The record is from RNAcentral.
GGCUCAGGAUGAACGCUGGCGGCGUGCUUAACACAUGCAAGUCGAACGAACCUUCGGGUUAGUGGCGGACGGGUGAGUAACGCGUGGGAAUCUGCCCUCAGGAGGGGGAUAACGGUUGGAAACGACCGCUAAUACCCCAUAUGCCGAGAGGUGAAAUGAAUUUCGCCUGAGGAUGAGCCCGCGUCUGAUUAGCUUGUUGGUGAGGUAAUGGCUCACCAAGGCUUCGAUC